RNAcentral lists this transfer RNA (98 nucleotides) under Colletotrichum cereale. RNAcentral describes it as "tRNA-Val". It matches the Rfam family "tRNA". Rfam says of the family: Transfer RNA (tRNA) molecules are approximately 80 nucleotides in length. Their secondary structure includes four short double-helical elements and three loops (D, anti-codon, and T loops). The record is from RNAcentral. Lineage: Eukaryota; Fungi; Ascomycota; Sordariomycetes; Glomerellales; Glomerellaceae.
GGUCUGGUGGUGUAGUUGGUUAUCACGUCAGUCUAACAACUCGAGGCGACUCGUGCUGAGAACACUGAAGGUCUCCGGUUCAAGUCCGGGCUAGAUCA